This 228-nucleotide ribosomal RNA is filed under the name Triticum aestivum (bread wheat). RNAcentral's name for it is "partial small subunit ribosomal RNA". The record is from RNAcentral. Lineage: Eukaryota; Viridiplantae; Streptophyta; Magnoliopsida; Poales; Poaceae.
AUGAGGACCUUAUGCUGGAACUGCCGUGGGAUUGGCGACCCCGCGACAGUUAACGAGCUCUGUGCUCUCGUGGUGGACAGUGCGCCGUCGGUCCUUUGUAUCGUGGAUACACAAAUUGCAAGGAAUCGAGUGGAGGGUUUGGCGGUGUCUUUAGGUUUCCAUAGUAGUUUUGCAGUAGCUAGUAGUGGUAGGAGUGGAGGUCUUUGUAUUUUUUGGAAGUCAGAGGUU